GGACGGGUGAGUAACGCGUAGGACUCUGCCUGAUAGAGGGGGACAACCUGGGGAAACUCAGGCUAAUACCGCAUAAUGUCGCGAGUGGAAAGGGGGGGAUCUUCGGACCUCGCGCUAUGAGAGGAGCCUACGUCCGAUUAGCCAGUUGGUAGGGUAAAGGCCUACCAAAGCGACGAUCGGUAGCUGGUCUGAGAGGAUGAUCCGUCACACUGGCACUGGAACACGGGCCAGACUCCUACGGGAGGCAGCAGUGAGGAAUAUUGCGCAAUGGGGGGAACCCUGACGCAGCGACGCCGCGUGGGUGAGGAAGGCUUUCGGGUCGUAAAACCCUGUCAGGAGGGAAGAAGUGCUUGCAGGCUAAUACCUUGUAAGUUUGACGGUACCUUCAAAGGAAGCACCGGCUAACUCCGUGCCAGCAGCCGCGGUAAUACGGAGGGUGCAAGCGUUGUUCGGAAUCACUGGGCGUAAAGGGCGCGUAGGCGGCUUGGCAAGUCAGAUGUGAAAGCCCACGGCUUAACCGUGGAAGUGCAUUUGAAACUGCUUGGCUUGAGUAUCAGAGGGGAAAGUGGAAUUCCCGGUGUAGAGGUGAAAUUCGUAGAUAUCGGGAGGAAUACCGGUGGCGAAGGCGACUUUCUGGCUGAAUACUGACGCUGAGGCGCGAAAGCGUGGGGAGCAAACAGGAUUAGAUACCCUGGUAGUCCACGCCGUAAACGAUGUCAACUAGGUGCAGGGGGUGUUGAUCCCCUCUGUGUCGCAGCUAACGCAUUAAGUUGACCGCCUGGGGAGUACGGUCGCAAGAUUAAAACUCAAAGGAAUUGACGGGGGCCCGCACAAGCGGUGGAGUAUGUGGUUUAAUUCGAUGCAACGCGAAGAACCUUACCUGGUCUUGACAUCCCGAAGAUCUCCUGGAAACAGGAGAGUGCUCUCUUUGAGAGAAUUUGGUGACAGGUGCUGCAUGGCUGUCGUCAGCUCGUGUCGUGAGGUGUUGGGCUAAGUCCCGCAACGAGCGCAACCCUCGCCAUUAGUUGCCAGCAUUAAGUUGGGCACUCUAAUGGGACUGCCGGUGUCAAACCGGAGGAAGGCGGGGAUGACGUCAAGUCCUCAUGGCCUUUAUGACCAGGGCUACACACGUACUACAAUGGCCGGUACAACGGGCUGCCACUUCGCGAGAAGGCGCAAAUCCCUAAAAGCCGGUCUCAGUCCGGAUUGGAGUCUGCAACUCGACUCCAUGAAGUUGGAAUCGCUAGUAAUCGUGGAUCAGCAUGCCACGGUGAAUACGUUCCCGGGCCUUGUACAC
This 1297-nucleotide ribosomal RNA is filed under the name metagenome. RNAcentral describes it as "bacterial SSU rRNA". It matches the Rfam family "Bacterial small subunit ribosomal RNA", at positions 100 to 1388 of the family's 1533-position model. The record is from RNAcentral.